GUUUAUGGUCCAACAUGGUUAUUGGAAAAAGAAAAGCUAGUUAAAAUAAAAAUGAACACUCCAAGCACCAUAACUACUACAGCCAUUGUAAUGUGUGUGGUGGGAGGUGUACCCUGAUGCUGUCUGACAGUAGGAUAUCAAACCAGUUUAGCACAGUUUGACAACUUACCUAGGUUUUGCUGGGUGCCUACACUACAUCUGGUCUUCUCCAGCAAGAGAAACCAAACGUCUCUGUAGUAAAGUUGAUGUAGGACUGCACUCAUGGUUAGCGGAUACUCUUAACCUAUGUGUGCAGUCCUACAUGGUCCUGACUUGUUCUGUAGAGUAAACUGACUUCUCCACCUGGAAAAGCUGUCCUUAAAAGGUUAAAUUGGCACUUUACAAUAAAUGUUGCACUGUAUUUUUAAGAAAUAUAUUUGCAUACGAGUGUAUCAUUUUUUUGGGGGGGGAGGGGGAUGUGGAUCUUGGGUAAGUUCCCAGACUUUUCCCCCCAGUACUUGACCCCUGAAAAGAGGGUACGAUGGAAGGGACAUGUGGUGCUUGUUUGGGCGAAAGUUGUUCAGGAAUCUUUUAUUCAGUAGGUUAUAGUUGUAAAAAUAGCAGAGUUUAGGGAAGUGACUGUUACACUGGCCGUGCAUGUAACUGAAGGCCCUAUUACCCUGGCAGCUGGAGGGGGACUAAGUGCCAGCCUUCUCCCCAAUGACUAAACCUACGGCCUGGGAAGGGGUUCUGUUUUUUAAGAGGUGGAUAUAGUCGGGAUGACUUUUUCCCCUUGGUAGGGGUUUGCCACAUUUCCCAAAUUACUGGUGUAACGGAUUAUUCCCCAACUUUCAAUUGCCUGUCAUCUGGUUUGAAGAGGUGGAGAUAUUCUCUGUUGUGUAGCUAAAGUUGAAUUUAAUGUAUUGAAUCUCCAGGUUGUAUGUGCCUUACCCUGCUUCCUGGCUUAUUGUUUUCCCAGUAGGAUGUUGUCCCACUGUUCCAAGGACACUUCCAGACCAGUUCAAGGUGGCUGCCUUGUCACUCCUUUAAAUUCCUCAUGUGAUCCUUAGCCCUUGUUAGUGUGUGUCCCUACCGUUCCUUGCAACCACAGUGCUCCAUUCACACUAGUUGUAAUAUCAUUAGGCUUUGUAGUGUAAUUGGUUGCUUUCUCAAGUCGAUAUUGCUAUUGGUUGACUUGGGCUCACUGUGCUGUUUGGGAGGGGGUUAUGAUGGAGGUCCUGAAAGGGAACUUUGUGUACCACUGUUGUAUGUACAUGAGGUUGUUGGGGGUAUAAAUAAAUGUACUGUUUCCAAUAAAGCUCAGGUGUGUUUCACCCUGGACUGGUGGAAGAGGUCCUCAGAGGCCCCAGUCAAGAUUCGGCGACUGCAUCUGAAGUGUUCCAGAGUUCCUGGUAGCAAGGAGGAAGCUGGCCUAGAGGAGGUACUCCAUCACAGUGC
Pelobates cultripes (western spadefoot toad) is the source of this 1437-nucleotide non-coding RNA. Lineage: Eukaryota; Metazoa; Chordata; Amphibia; Anura; Pelobatidae. The record is from the annotation of a GenBank genome assembly.